GCUCUUUGCUGCUCCGUUCUGCACCUUUUCCUCCUUUACCAUUGCGCUCCUUCUGUCCCUUCCUGCUCCUUGCUGCCCCUUCCUGCUCCUUGCAGACACUUCGUACUCCUUGCUGACCCUUCCUACUCCUUGCUGACCCUACCAGCUCCUUGCAGACCGUUCCUGCUCCUCGCUGACCCUUUCUGCUCCUUGCAGAUCUUUCCUGCCCCUUGCUGCCCAUUGCUGCCCCUUUCUGCUUCUUGCAGGCCCUUCCUACUCUUUGCUACCCCUUCUUGCUGCUCCUUCCUGCUUCUUGUUGACCCUUUCUGCUCCUUGCAGAUCCUUCCUGCUCCUUGCUGCCCCUUCCUACUUUUUGCAGACACUUCCUGCUCCCUGCAGACCCUUCCUGCAUUUUGUUGCCCCUUCCUGCUUCUUGCAGCCUCUUCCUGCUCCUUGCAGACCCUUCCUGAUCCUUGCUGCCACUUCCUGCUCCUUGCUGACCCUUUCUGUUCCUUCUCCUACUUUACUUUUCACUGUGCUACUUCUCUCUCUUCCUGCUCCUUGAUGCCCUUUCCAGCUCCUUGCUGCCCCUUCCUGCUUCUUGCUAAUCCUUGCUGACCCUUCCUGCCCCUUGCUCCCCAUUCCUGCUCCUUGCACCCCAUUUAGGCUUCUGCUGCCCCUUCCUGCUUCUUGCUGCCCCUCCCUGCUUCUUGCAGGCCCUUCCUGCUCCUACUUGCUGCUCCUUGCUGACCCUUCCUGCUCAUUUCUGAACCUUUCUGCUCGUUGCUGACCCUUCCUGUUUUUUGCAGCCUCUUUCAGCUAAUUGCAAACCUUUCCUGAUCCUUGCU
Molecule: non-coding RNA, 827 nt
Organism: Pelobates cultripes (western spadefoot toad)
Lineage: Eukaryota; Metazoa; Chordata; Amphibia; Anura; Pelobatidae
Source: the annotation of a GenBank genome assembly